UCCCAUGUGGCUCAGUUGGUAUAGCCUGGUGUUUGCAACGCCAGGGUUGUGGGUUCGAUUCCCACGGGGGAC
RNAcentral lists this transfer RNA (72 nucleotides) under Salmo salar (Atlantic salmon). It matches the Rfam family "tRNA". From Rfam's summary of the family: Transfer RNA (tRNA) molecules are approximately 80 nucleotides in length. Their secondary structure includes four short double-helical elements and three loops (D, anti-codon, and T loops). Further hydrogen bonds mediate the characteristic L-shaped molecular structure. tRNAs have two regions of fundamental functional importance: the anti-codon, which is responsible for specific mRNA codon recognition, and the 3' end, to which the tRNAs corresponding amino acid is attached (by aminoacyl-tRNA synthetases). tRNAs cope with the degeneracy of the genetic code in two manners: having more than one tRNA (with a specific anti-codon) for a particular amino acid; and 'wobble' base-pairing, i.e. permitting non-standard base-pairing at the 3rd anti-codon position. The record is from Rfam by way of RNAcentral. Lineage: Eukaryota; Metazoa; Chordata; Actinopteri; Salmoniformes; Salmonidae. RNAcentral also lists the same sequence under 1 other name.